GACGAACUGUGCAAACGUUAUUCGGAAUCACUGGGCUUGAAGAGUGCGUAGGCGGUUUCGUAAGUAGGGUGUGAAAGCCCCCAGCUCAACUGGGGAACUGCGUCCUAAACUGCGAGGCUGGAGUGAGGUAGGGGUGUGUGGAACUUCCGGUGGAGCGGUGAAAUGUGUUGAUAUCGGAAGGAACGCCGGUGGCGAAAGCGACACACUGGGCCUUGUCUGACGCUGAGGCACGAAAGCCAGGGAGCAAACGGGAGUUAGAA
RNAcentral lists this ribosomal RNA (260 nucleotides) under uncultured bacterium. RNAcentral describes it as "partial 16S ribosomal RNA". It matches the Rfam family "Bacterial small subunit ribosomal RNA", at positions 524 to 783 of the family's 1533-position model. The record is from RNAcentral.